UGCCAGCAGCCGCGGUAAUACAGAGAUGGCAACCGUUGUUCGGAAUCACUGGGCUUAAAGCGCACGUAGGCGGAAUAGUGGGUCGAUUGUGAAAUCCUCUGGCUUACCCAGAGAAGGUCAGUCGAAACUGCUAUUCUAGAGUACAGAAGGGGAAAGUGGAACUCCUAGUGGAGCGGUGAAAUGCGUUGAUAUUAGGAGGAACGCCGGUGGCGAAAGCGGCUCACUGGCUCGAUACUGACGCUGAGGUGCGAAAGUGUGGGGAGCAAACAGGAUUAGAUA
This 279-nucleotide ribosomal RNA is filed under the name uncultured bacterium. Its description in RNAcentral is "partial 16S ribosomal RNA". It matches the Rfam family "Bacterial small subunit ribosomal RNA", at positions 506 to 784 of the family's 1533-position model. The record is from RNAcentral.